GAUGAACGCUGGCGGCGUGCCUAAUACAUGCCAGUCGAGCGAACAGACGAGGAGCUUGCUCCUCUGACGUUAGCGGCGGACGGGUGAGUAACACGUGGAUAACCUACCUAUAAGACUGGGAUAACUUCGGGAAACCGGAGCUAAUACCGGAUAAUAUAUUGAACCGCAUGGUUCAAUAGUGAAAGACGGUUUUGCUGUCACUUAUAGAUGGAUCCGCGCCGCAUUAGCUAGUUGGUAAGGUAACGGCCUACCAAGGCAACGAUGCGUAGCCGACCUGAGAGGGUGAUCGGCCACACUGGAACUGAGACACGGUCCAGACUCCUACGGGAGGCAGCAGCAGGGAAUCUUCCGCAAUGGGCGAAAGCUUGACGGAGCAACGCCGCGUGAGUGAUGAAGGUCUUCGGAUCGUAAAACUCUGUUAUUAGGGAAGAACAAAUGUGUAAGUAACUAUGCACGUCUUGACGGUACCUAAUCAGAAAGCCACGGCUAACUACGUG
RNAcentral lists this ribosomal RNA (497 nucleotides) under uncultured bacterium. RNAcentral describes it as "partial 16S ribosomal RNA". It matches the Rfam family "Bacterial small subunit ribosomal RNA", at positions 28 to 507 of the family's 1533-position model. The record is from RNAcentral.